CCACUCUUGUUUCUCUUCAAAUCUUAUAAAUCUUUUGCCUUUUACUAAAGAUUUCCGUGGAAAGAAACAGCAAGAGUUUAAGUUAAUUUUCUGAUGCUCUACUAUAUUGUGGGGU
Molecule: small nuclear RNA, 115 nt
Organism: Mastacembelus armatus (zig-zag eel)
Lineage: Eukaryota; Metazoa; Chordata; Actinopteri; Synbranchiformes; Mastacembelidae
Gene: U5
Rfam family: U5 spliceosomal RNA
About the family: U5 RNA is a component of both types of known spliceosome. The precise function of this molecule is unknown, though it is known that the 5' loop is required for splice site selection and p220 binding, and that both the 3' stem-loop and the Sm site are important for Sm protein binding and cap methylation.
Source: Ensembl